RNAcentral lists this long non-coding RNA (315 nucleotides) under Bos taurus (domestic cattle). RNAcentral describes it as "long non-coding RNA NONBTAT010676". The record is from RNAcentral. Lineage: Eukaryota; Metazoa; Chordata; Mammalia; Artiodactyla; Bovidae.
UUUGGGAAAAGCCAUAAUUUAGCUAUGCUUAUGGAGGCCUGCAAUAGCUGUUUAUCUAUUGAUAAGUUCUUAUGAGUAGAUAUCAUAAAGAAUUGUUUGGAAAUCAAUCAUGAUGAAAUUUAAUUUUAGCAAACAUUGUGUCAACAGAGAAUGGUAAUUUAAUAGCCUCCAUUGGAUAGUAACCAAUUACCCAAUCUCCUUCUCUGAGAUACACUUAUCAAAUAGGUUGAGUAAUUUUGAAACAAAAUGAAAGAAAGCUUCUUCUAUAAUUGCCAUGCUUUUUGUUUUCUAAUGCAGCUUGUUGAGUUUAUAUAG